CUUCACCCCAGAGUUUUUUUGGCGGGAAAAUUUAUAAUGUUUGGGGAAGACAAGAUGGCGCUGGUUUACUUCGUGUCGUCAAAGGGCAUUUUUGUUCACAAAUACCCACUUAUUUUACGUUAUAACGACUGCUUAGUUUUGGAAAUUAUAACUCAAUGUUCAGGGAAAACGAUUCUAUGGUAAAGAGAAAAAUACGUGCAGUUUAUAUUGACUUUAUAUUGUGAUGUUAUUUGUUGUGAAAGACGGCCGGAAAUUUCGCUACAUCGCUGUACUGGCAAUUCGACCAUGGAUAAAGAGACAACGCUUGAAUGAAAGAACAACCUGUCUUGAUGGUAAGUUUUUAAA
Molecule: non-coding RNA, 345 nt
Organism: Paramuricea clavata
Lineage: Eukaryota; Metazoa; Cnidaria; Anthozoa; Malacalcyonacea; Plexauridae
Source: the annotation of a GenBank genome assembly